Non-coding RNA from Bemisia tabaci, 974 nucleotides. The record is from RefSeq and is a predicted model, not a curated record. Lineage: Eukaryota; Metazoa; Arthropoda; Insecta; Hemiptera; Aleyrodidae.
CAGUCCCCACAUAAUAGUGCCGGCUAACCCUAACCCACCUGUCUGCCUGGGGCUCCAUCGUGUUUUUGAGCCGUGUACAGUCCUUUGAUUGGAUGACAAGUAUCACUUACGCCCCGGUUCUUCAAGAAGUCGUAGCUGGCGUACAAGUGACCGAAGCAAUUGCAAACACCCCCUUUGACAACACGCUCCUAUUCUUCGGAUUUGCUUUGGCAAUGAAAGUGACGGACCAAGCGCCGCCUACUACGGCCAUGCCCUUACCUGUAUUGAAGCGGAGGAUGGGUGUUAACUUUGGCCCUGGCCCAUCAAGUGGUGAUGAAGCCGUGCCCUUGCCGGCGAAGAUAGCGCUUGGCGCUCCUCCUGAGCCAUUGCAACCAAGUGUCAACGUCAACACUGCCCCAAACUAGGUCUGGUGCUGAUUGACCUCCCACUCUCAGCACCAGGAUCAGAUUGUUAUUGCCGUAGCAAGACUCUCCCACUUGUUUUGACAAAUCACCUGACGAUGCUCUUUUCGAACGACUUUCCUAAGUUUCAUCAAUGUUUAACCCUCAAACACGAUGCAGCCCUGGUUUCCACAUUACCCCGCGGCGGCCCCCCUGCCAGUGCAGCAAGUGCCCGUUUUCAUCCCGGUACCGGUGCCAGUCCCGGCUAACGACUCGCGUUACGUCCAGCAACUGGAACGCACCCUGGAUCGGGGAACAACCCGCGAAGUAUUUUUGCAGCGCCAUCCCGCCGACAAAUAAAAGGGGCAAUAAGAGCCCAACGCUUCCGUUUGGAAAACAUAUGAUUCCGAGGAUGAGAUGUUAAAGAAGGCAUUCCUGGCCGGAGCGGCGGCAGCCGCAUGCCAGUCAUACAAACAGUGGCGAAGCACCUUCCUCAGUUGAGAAGUUGAUAGCCUUUGGUCAGAAACAUCGUAAACUUCGAAGAUUGUGAAAAUUUGAAAGUCAACCCAGGCGCUAAAUGCCUGCAUAUUUUUC